RNAcentral lists this small nuclear RNA (100 nucleotides) under Dasypus novemcinctus (nine-banded armadillo). The record is from RNAcentral. Lineage: Eukaryota; Metazoa; Chordata; Mammalia; Cingulata; Dasypodidae.
CUGCUCGCUCCGGCAGCAAGUAUACUGAAAUUGGAACAAUACGAAGAAGAUUAGCAUGUGAAAGGAUGACCCACAAAUUCGCGAAGUGUUCCAUAUUUUC